UACGUAGGGGGGCGAGCGUUGUCCGGAUUUAUUGGGCGUAAAGAGCGUGUAGGCGGCCAGGUAGGUCAGCUGUGAAAACUCGAGGCUCAACCUCGAGAUGUCGGCUGAAACCAUCUGGCUAGAGUCCGGAAGAGGAGAAUGGAAUUCCCGGUGUAGCGGUGAAAUGCGCAGAUAUCGGGAAGAACACCCGUGGCGAAGGCGGUUCUCUGGGACGGUACUGACGCUGGAGACGCGAAAAGCGUGGGGGAG
This 249-nucleotide ribosomal RNA is filed under the name uncultured bacterium. RNAcentral describes it as "partial 16S ribosomal RNA". It matches the Rfam family "Bacterial small subunit ribosomal RNA", at positions 524 to 769 of the family's 1533-position model. The record is from RNAcentral.